RNAcentral lists this ribosomal RNA (446 nucleotides) under uncultured bacterium. RNAcentral's name for it is "partial 16S ribosomal RNA". It matches the Rfam family "Bacterial small subunit ribosomal RNA", at positions 338 to 795 of the family's 1533-position model. The record is from RNAcentral.
CCUACGGGUGGCUGCAGUCGAGAAUCAUUCACAAUGGGGGAAACCCUGAUGGUGCGACGCCGCGUGGGGGAAUGAAGGUCUUCGGAUUGUAAACCCCUGUCAUGUGGGAGCAAAUCAAAAAGAUAGUACCACAAGAGGAAGUGACGGCUAACUCUGUGCCAGCAGCCGCCGUAAUACAGAGGUCUCAAGCUGUGUUCGGAAUCACUGGGCGUAAAGCGUGCGUAGGCUGUUUCGUAAGUCGCGUGGGAAAGGGGCGGGCUCAACCCGCGGCCGGCACAUGACACUGCGGGACUAGAGGAAUGGAGGAGGAAGCGGAAUGCGCGGUGUAGCAGUGAAAUGCGUAGAUAUCGAGAGGAACACUCGUGGCGAAGGCGGGUUCCUGGAGAUUAACUGACGCUGAGGCACGAAGGCCAGGGGAGCGAAAGGGAUUAGAUACCCCAGUAGUC